Molecule: long non-coding RNA, 43378 nt
Filed under: Coffea arabica (coffee)
Lineage: Eukaryota; Viridiplantae; Streptophyta; Magnoliopsida; Gentianales; Rubiaceae
Description: long non-coding RNA (CARA_LNC007274)
Source: RNAcentral
AAAAUUUGUGGAAAUGAAUUUAAACCUCCUUUUUCUAUCAAUUUUUUUUUCAACGCCCGUUAAUCACGCUCCUAACACCAUCCAAUAAUUAAGAUUUCUAGCCGAUUACUACUAAAUCAUCGCCUAUAGGCUAUAAACAGCCUCCAGUCAACAAACAAACAAUCACCACCACUCAGAUCAGAUAUUUUUCAUAAGUUGUCCUAUUGUCAGUUUUACACCACUAAGAUCAUCAUGGCUGGAGAGAAGCACCGCCACCACCUCGUCCACCACCACAAGGAAGAGAAGCCUGUCGAGAGAAGCACCACUAAGACCAUCAUGGCUGAAGAGAAGCGCCACCACUACCACCACAAGGAAGAGAAGCACCACCACCACCUCGUCCACCACCACAAGGAAGAGAGAAGCACCACUAAGACCAUCAUGGUUGAAGAGAGAAGCACCACUAAGACCAUCAUGGUUGAAGAGAAGCACCACCACCACCUCGUCCACCACCACAAGGAAGAGAAGCACCACCACCACCUUGUCCACCACCACAAGGAAGAGAAGAAGCACCAGCACCACCUCGUCCAGCACCAGCACCAGCACCAGCACCACCUCGUCCAGCACCACCACCACCACCACCACCACCACCACAAGGAAGAGAAGCACCACCACCACAAGCCUGUCGAGAGAAGCACCACUAAGACCAUCAUGGCUGAAGAGAAGCACCGCCACCACCUCGUCCACCACCACAAGGAAGAGAAGCACCGCCACCACAAGCCAUAAUAAAAGGCAUAAUAGUCUCUUGUAUACUGUUUGUUCUGGCUUGAUGGUGCUGAUUUGAGUUAAAAAAGAUAAUGACUAUGUUGAUGAUGACACAUUUUCUGCCUUGGGAACCAAUUAUAAUAUAGGAUCCGAAUAGUUGCUUUUAUCUUUAUAAUUUAUGUUUCACAUGGAAAGAUAUUCAAUUCUCAUCUUUGAUACAUGUCACUACUUUGUUGCAAUUCAGUCAAGUUUAUUCAUACUUGAACAAGGCGGUGUCCUGAAAAUAUGACAUCUAUUAGUUAUACAAUGUUUAUUGUUGCUUGACUAACUUGCAGUCUUGGGUGGUUAACUUGUGCAUUGAUCCAGCUUGAGUUAAGUACUUGGUUACUCAGCGUUUGCUCUGACAUAUAUUCUUCAGUAAAUGCGGCAGGCUGAAUUGUUUACAAAUUACCGGUUCAAUUGUUGCUGUGUAAGCGAUGUACUGCAACUCCUGCAACUUAUAUUGAUCGUGCUUUGCUGGUAUCGUCCCCUGUACUUGCUUGUCCUUGGUUUUCUAUUCUGUUAAACCUACAACUCCAAUUUUAAGUUCCUUUAUCCUGUGUGUUUCUCUUCUUUGCUGCUCAGUACUCCAGAACUAUGACCGUAUCCAUUAACCGUCCCUCCUCAUAAAUUACUACUAGCAGUGAAAAUCACUGGAGUCAUUUCUUGCUGCACUCUUGAAAAGCACUGUCAUGUACAAUUCCAUUGUACUUUACCUGACUUGCUGCCUUAACCAUCUGACAUUAGCAUGUUUCCGCUCAAAGUAUAGACCAAAAGAAAGGAAUUCUGAAAUCUUCUAUGGUUCAAUUGUCAUGAAUGUGAGUUUUCAUGAACAGACAACGUGGCUUUAACUGCUUAUUUGCUUUUGCCUUUUUGUGUAGGAAACUUUUGUUUCUGGUGUUGAUGGUCUCAACUUAACUUCCAAUGAAGACUCGUACAAAUCCAAGGCAACUACGAAAUUCAUGGAUUCAAUUGAUGGUGCUAUUGAUGAGUAUUUGACCUUUAACAAUCCCGAGUCAUGCUGUGAGAAGCUUGAGGAUUUGCUUACACAUGGGCACCUUCAGGGGCCACUGAGACCAAAGCCAGAAAAGUCACCUCAAUGCAUAAGGUUACACUUGUUUCAUCAUCAAUCUCUACAUGCAUACACCACACUUGCUUCAGCAUACAGAGUCCGUGCUAGUGACCUCUUGGCUCUUAAUUCUGAAAAUCAUCAGCAUCAUAUGGAAGCUUUCACUCUGAGCAGAAUAAGUGCAGCCUACUCCUUGUUGUUGGCUAUAGUUACGCAUCAUCUUUUUCUUUCUGAAUCUUCAAUAAUUGUCUGUGUUGCGAAUUUCUGGAAAAAUGCCGGGGAGUCCCUAGUUUAUCUCUUUAGAAGCUCAGCCUGGGUUACAUUUUCCAGUUUGCACCAAUCUGUUUCUGAAAAUUCAUCCAUUCUAAGCCAUAAAUGCUGAAGAUCAAUUCUUUUAUUAAUACUGAAGAUCAAUAUGCAAUGUUUGGGGACAUAAGCAGGCAGCACAUAAAUUGUAUUGUCAACAUAACAGAAAAAGUAUGGAGCUUCCUUAGUCAUGAAAGUCGACAUCUGCAAGAAGUUAAAGAGCUCAUUGAUUUUUGAUGGCUUCUCACAGUGGAAACUCCCCUUGAUCUCGGAACUCGUAUUACUUGCCGGGAUAGCAGAACUGUUUCCAGACUUCAAAAAAAGGAGCAUGCCAACCUAGAGAGAGCAUAUCUCUUUCAGCUUGGUCUCCACUGCUUACACUAUGCAACAUACCUGUCAAGCAUCUGUUAUGGCCUAAAUUCCCUGUUGAUAGGUGAAGUUUGUCAAUCUUCUAUACUCUGAAGGUAUGUAUAGUGGCUGGUUAGUUCAACCAAUUUGGCUGAAAAUAUUAUCAAAAAAUAGCGAUGUGAAAAGGUCAUCAAAUAGAUGGUGAUCAAAAAGCUCAGUUCAUCACUCGUAUAUACCGUAUAGUUGAGUGUAUCUUUCCAGGAUUGAAUUCUCAUAGAUGGUGAUCAAAAAGCUCAAUUCAUCACUCGUAAUGCAUGCAAGCAGGAGCCCAAUAUUUCGUCCUCUUUCCAUUUGUUUUUUUUGGGCCACAGUCCUAGAAAUAAGCAUUUCAUGAGUUAAUUUUGGUCUACUGAAUUGAAUAAGAGUGAACUUUUGGGCCAAAUCAGGCUCCAAUUUCAAAUGUGGGUGCUGUUAUUGGGCCUCAAGAGAUUGGAUAAAGCCUGCCCACCUGACACCUAAGUAUCAAGGUCAAAUGACCUCAAACAAUCUAAUAUCCGUUCGCCAGUACUUUUAUUUGUUUAUUUUUUCUUGCCUUCAUAUUACACCCUUCUCGCCUUUAUAUUGUCUGAUUCAGAAUUCAAAAUCUGAAUCUCAUAAUUGAAAGGACGCUAAGAGCUUUUUUUUGACAAAUUUUUAUUUAUUUAUUUAUUACAUUCUUUCAUUCCUGUUCAUACCUUUUUCUUGCAGUCAUAUUAUACCCUUUUCUCCUUUGUACCGAGAGACUCAGAAUUCGAAAUCUGAACCUCAUAAUUGAAAGGACGUUAAGAGCCUAUUUUGACAACUGAACAAACCCUAAUAGUUUUAGUACUUACUUAAAAGAGUUUGUCAAUUUGUUGUUGUAGAGAGCUACAAUGACUUUAUGAAGGUAAAGUGGACAUUAAGUUUGGGCAGUGUCGAAUUUUACCUUUUCUUUUUCCCUUUCUUUUUGGUAGUAUGAUAUUAACUCGACAUUAUAAGAUUUUCAUGGGGGGUGGUUUGAAGUCUCCAUUUUGUUGCAACUAUUCAAAGAGUCAUGAAAUCUGUGAUUUCAUUUUCCAAGUGUGAAUAUUAGGUGGAUGGACAAAUCAACCUUCUUUUUUCCAUUCUUGGGGCAGAAUUUCUUCUCCCACGGAUGUUUCCUAUCCAUAUCACGAUAAUGUACUCUUCUUGAGCGAGUAAAUUAAUUGGUCCCCAAAUGGAAAUUUAGUUGGCACGUCUCACCGACCACGUUUCCUUAACAGCGAAGAAAAGGAAAUAUACAAAUGGAAAAUAAUCUGAAUCUAAACCACCCCAGAUAUCAACAUUCAAGUGGUGGAUAGUCAAUGCAUUUGGAUCAUUCAUGCAUCCAUCUUCCAACUUUGCUUAAAAUUGUGAACAAAGGGGUGGCAAACAACAUCAUAUCCAUGUGGUGGAGGCCAUACCUGUGAAUUGACCCUUCCAAACAGGCGUUAGAGCACAAUUGGUCAGAGAGGAGAAACUUGAAGGUGCAUAUGGCUAUGAGUUACAUCUGUAAAGUAAUAUCAACAUUAAUCGUCCAUUUGUAUCAAUCAUGGAUCAAUUGACAAAAAAAAACCCAAGUUGCAUCCUGUAUAGUUUGUCUGGGGAUGGGGUCUAUGUCAAUGAAUUGGAUGAAAGGAGAAGAAACUUCAAACUAUGAAUUUAUAAUUAGUGAUUGAGCUUAAUUCUUCAACCCAACCACACCAAACUUCUUGGUUAUUGGAGAACCAAAUCAUAUAUAUAUAUAUAUAAUAAAGUCGUAUCCUCAUUUAUCGUUUCAUGUUUUCUUUUUCUUAUGUGGCUUAACGAGAUAGCAAGUAAUUUUCUACGUGGCUUGCUUCUUUUUUGUUUGGAUUUAUAUCAAUUCUUAUUUCCUAUAUUAUAUGAUUGGUCCGAUAAAAUAUAUCAAUUCUUAGUCCGAUAAAAAUUGUUAGUCCGAUAAAAAUUGUGAUACAAAAUGGAUCAAUUGGAAAAAAAACCCCAAGUUGCAUCCUGUAUAGUUUGUCUGGGGAUGGGGUCUAUGUCAAUGAAUUGGAUGAAAGGAGAAGAAACUUCAAACUAUGAAUUUAUAAUUAGUGAUUGAGCUUAAUACUUCAACCCAACCAUACCAAACUUCUUGGUUAUUGGAGAACCAAAUUAUUUAAUAGUCGUAAGGUGGGAAAAAAAAAAGAAUUGCUUAAACAAUCUAGAAUACUUCUUUUUUUGGUAAAUAUCUAGAAAAUAUCUCUUUGGCUAUCUUGACCAAGAAAUACUGGUAGACCAUUUAACUUUCAAAAUGUUGAUUAUUGAUCACUAAGAUAUGUUUCAACCGCUUAAUCAUGAUUUAAUAGAGUUUUAAUUUCCCACUAUCCCUUGUCAAUCAGCAAAAUUGUGUUUGAUGACACGACUAAUUACCCUUCCAUAUAUAUAUAUAUAUAUCCUCCUUUUUCUAUCAAUUUUUUUUUUCAACGCCCGUUAAUCACGCUCCUAACACUAUCCAAUAACUAAGAUUUCUAGCCGAUUACUACUAAAUCAUCGCCUGUAGGCUAUAAAUAGCCUCCUCUCCACAAUCCAACAAACAGAAAAUUACCACCACUCAGAUCAGAUAUUUUUCAUAAGUUGUCCUAUUAUCAGUUUUACACCACUAAGACUAUCAUGGCUGAAGCCUUCCACCACCACAACCCCUUCCACCACCACAAGGAACAGACGGCUGCCGAAGCCGUUGGCUACUCCGACACCACCUACUCUGGAGGCUACGGUGGAGAGCCAGCACAUGAUUAUGAGAAAGAAAGAAAGCACCACAAGCACCUUGAGCAACUUGGUGGACUCGGUGCUGUCGCUGCUGGCGCCUAUGCCUUGGUAUAUUUCCGAUUUUGUGAUCCUUGCUUGUAUAACUCAGUUUUCAUGAUAAGCCACGAAGGCAUGCUUGUCUAUAAGAAGCCACAAAUUAAACUCAGUUUUUUUUUGUAUUAGUCCAUAAAGACUAAACAUUUUUGUUAUCAUUUCGUUUGAUCAGACAAUCAAAGAUUAUGUACGUCCAAUAUCAAAAGGGUUGUUCAGUAAAUCAGAAAAAUCUCUUUCGAAAAAUAAAAAAAAAAAGAUUAAAGAAUCUCUAGGGGGGAUAAAAUCGUAUGGUAUGGUCCAAUUAUAGUGUUGUGUUGAAUUUUAUGCUCUAAUCGGACUAAAAAUUUUGCAGUCAAUUGACUGUAUCAUAAACUCUUUUAAGUAGGACAUGGUUUUUGGCUUUACUAAUUUCUUGUUUGUUUUUUUUGUCGAAAUUUCCAUAAUCCAGCAUGAGAAGCACAAGUCCAAGAAAGAUCCUGAGCAUGCCCACAAGCACAAGAUAGAAGAAGAGAUUGCAGCAGUAGCUGCAGUGGGUGCCGGUGGAUUUGCGUUCCAUGAGCAUCACGAGAAGAAGGAUGCCAAGAAAGAAGAGGAAAAGGCUGAGGGAAAGCACCACCACCACCUAUUUUAGUUUAACCACUCGGAUUUUCAUUAAUCCUUGGGUGGUCUUUUUAAUAUUGUUCCCUUGUCUAUCUUCCAGUAUUGAGCUCGUACUGCCAAUAAUCAUGUUUAAUAAUCUGUUACUCAAAAAAAAAAAAAAAGUGUUGUUUUUCAUUUGAGUUGUGCGCCUGCUUUUGUUGGCGCUGCUGACUUUAUUAGAGUUUGUGUGAAGUGCUGUUGUUAUUAAUGAAAUGUUUGGUUGCAGUAUAAAAAUUAGAUAUCAGUUUGGAAUAUGCUCAAAGGAUGAUGAGUAUUCUUUUGGGCUCUAUCUGAUGAUCCGCAUAGAAAUUUGUUUUUUCCAAUAAUUUGUGACGUUACUCGAAAUGAAAUUUGUUAUGAUGUUGAUUGAAUAAUGAAUGUCUAUUAUACUUAAACAUUGAACACUAAUAGAACGUUGAGGUAUGGCCAUUUCUUGCGCCCCUUCCGUCUCCCGCGAUUAGGAUUUAUCCUAACUGAUUGGGAAAGGAUCAGGACCUAUAAAUAGCAAUGUCAUGAAAUUCCUAGCACUCACACUUAAUAACAAAAAAAUAUCAAAUUUUCAUUCUUAACCAUUACAAAUCGACAACCACAAUGGCUGAUCAGACUCAGCACCACCAUCUCUUCGGCCACCAUAACGAGGAAGAAAGGAAACACCACAAGCAUCUUGAGGAGCUCGAUGAGCUUGCAGCUGCUGCCGCUGGUGCCUACGCUUUGGUAAAAUUCUAAUGUUCUUGAUUUAAGCUGGUUUAUGUCCCCCAUAGAUUAAUCAAUCAAAAUAAAAAAAAAACAUGCUUUUUCAUUCACGGAAGAGGAAGAUCUAUGCAUCAAUUUUGGUACAACUAUUGUUAGACGUCUCCCCUAAAAAAUCAAGAUUGAUGAUGGGUUAGACAGUAGGGGACGUUCAUUUGUAUACUCUACUGUUGGGAGGAGAAGUUGCAUUUAAUUUUGGAGAAUGUCAAAAGCCAGUUUCUUAAAACCCAUAUGGUAGUGGGUUCAGAAUGGACUAGAUCUGCAGGUGGCUAAAAGGUGUUACAUCAACCGCUAUUUCUAAGAUAUCUAAAGAUUAGUGAUUCCUGAGCAAAACCAAGCCCAAGUAGUAUACUAAAACUUGUAGACAUAAUUAAUAUGGUCUGAGCCAAAAUAAUUUCUGAACUUUGUUAGCUCAUCUAUGGUGUGAAUUUGCAUGGAAUGAUGGUCAGCAUGAGAAGCACGAGGCCAAGAAGGAUCCGCAGAAUGCCCGCAGGCACAAGUUAGAAGAAGAGAUUGGUGCAGCAGCUGCAGUUGGAGCUGGCGGAUUGGCAUUCCAUGAGCAUCAUGAGAAAAAUAAUGCCAAAAAAGAAGAAGAAAAAGCCGAGGGAAAGCACCACCAUCUAUUUUGAAUUAUGAUAAGGGUUCCUUCAAUUUUCUUGCUAGUUCACAUCCAGGUUUCUACUUUGACAAGAAAUAAUUAUGUUUGUUUUUUCUCUAAAAACAAAAGGUAAUGUCAAUUUAUCUUGGGGAUUUCGUCUUGAUUUUAUUGGCGCAACUGACCUAGCACAUUUGUGGUGGAAUUGGUCUCAAUCUUACGUGCAAUUAUUUGUGUAAUAAUUCUAUCAUUAUGUUGGUAUCGUAUAAUCUAUGUAAUAAUUGAUGGAUUUUCUUAGCCAAAGAUAUAACAAAAUAGCCGACUGAUCACUGGUUAGAGUCAUAAAGGGAUAAGUGAAAAAUCACUGUUGAUCAUUUUUAAGGUAAAAAAAAAAGAAGUAAAUUUAUAGCAUUCAAUCUUUUCUUGAGGCUUUAUAUUCAUUUAAAGACUCAUGGAACAAUUAAACUUGUUGCAAAAAUAAUUUUGUUGGUUUUCCGACAUGUCAAUCUCAAUUGUUAAAAUUGUAAACUCUGAUUGGUGAGGCUGUAUAACAUCCAGCCCAUUUGGCGAUGUUAGGACCCAAAACUUAUCGUGAGGACCCUAUUGGAUGAGAGAGAUUCUUGAUUACGUUCCUUAUCUUCGUGAAGGUGACGGGCUAUCUACAUUAUUUCUCAAUUUAGUUCCUUUACCUUCGUAGAAAGUGACCAACCUAUAACAUUUGUGAUUUAACCGAAAAUUGUGGGAAACUAAAGAAUGAAUGAGUCACUUGAAUUGCUCCGAAACUAUUGGAAGGCAAUCUUUUAAGUGCCGAAAAAUAAAUAUUCUGUGGUGUUAAAGGAAUGAGAUGGGCGAACACUUGAGAUCCUCGGUAUCAUGUUUUUUAUGCCAAUCCAAUGCCACCUAUAGUAUUGCGCCAAGUGUUUUGUUAUUAUUUACACUUUAAUUUUCUAAUAAUUUAACUUGGUUUGGUUUAACACAAGUGUAAAUAAUAACAUGACACUUGGCGCAAUAUUAUGCGAAAUGGCUUCCUAAAAAAUAGCAUCCGCAUUUGUUUUUCAUUGAGAGGUAUUUCAGUUUUUCGAUCAAGUUAAUCCCUUAAAACUGUGUAGAGCCUUACUCCAAGGAUACACAGUCAGAUAACUCAUAGAAUCAAUCACGGAACCUAGCCUACUGAUAACUACCAGAUUACGAAACCAGUCAAAUUAGCGCGGGGCAAGCAUCCAUAUUUACAAAUGUGAAAUAUUGAUGCGAAAAGUUUUGACUGGCAUUCUGUAAAAGUUUUGAUGAAUAUGGCACUAUGAACCCUUAUUGAAAUAUUGCCGAAUUCCACAUUAUAGUAAGACAUCUAUUAGAAAAUUGAAAAUCUUGGUCCUUUGUCUUAAUUAACGUCACUGUUCUGUUAUCAUGGCCAUAGUCUUAGUCCCUUAACUAUAAAAAUUUGAUCAAUGUAGUCCGUUGAAUAGAAAAUUGGUCCAUAAUAAAUUUUAAAAAAAUUUAGUAGCAUCAGUUACACAACCUACACGACACGGCUAGAUAUUCCAGACACGAUACUUGACUAUUCUACCUGUGGCUUUCGUUAAUGGAGGAAAAAAGGUGAGAAGAAGACUCAGGGUCUCCGCCUGCAAGUACUGGCCAAAUGGUCAAAAUGAAUACGUAGCUGCCUGCCUAGAAUACUUGUUCAAUUUGAUGUUACAUAAAUUGGACAUUAGUCUUUGAUGAAAAUAGCUACUCAGCAAUGACAACGGUGUAUAGACACAUUAACACUCCACAAAGUAAAAAUUUUUGCCUCAAUUGGUAGGUGGAGGAGCGCCAUGUUUGUCUUUUGAUCAACAUAUAUUGUGGCCACAAAUCUCACUCCCAAGAUUUUGAUCAAGUUUGUCCCCGUUAAGGGCCAUAAUUUUGUGAUGAAUUUUUUUUUUUUGUCUUUUGAAUCAGUUUUAAAAAAUAUUCAAAUCAAUAUUGGAAGUUCCCAAGUUAUUCGUCAAAUCGCUUCUACGAGUUUCAAACUAUGUUAGCCGAACCAAGCAUGAAAAUUGGUUGUUUUAGUGCAAAAAUGAAGAGUAUAAGACUAAGAACGGCAAGGCAAAUUGAUUAACGGCUAAAUUUUACCAUUUAUUGUGUCUUGGAUAUGAUUUUUUUUUGGUCAAGCAUAGUUGCAAAAAUUGAUAACACGAAUUAGAGUUCAGACUUUAUAAUUUUACUGAAUCAUUUUAAGGAUUGAAACUGAGUAAAACUUUACGUCAUUUCAUUUUGCCCCCUUUCUCCCCCAUCUCCAAUUAAGGAUCUCGGGAUUCACAAGUUGCAUUUCGCUCCAUUUCAGAAUAAAAUGAUAAUUUUAAUUAUUUGUUUAUACUGUAUUCAAAUUAUUUACGCCAUAUUUAUAAUUUUCUUUUACACUAUAUUCUAACUCAUUUACACCCUAUUCUAACUCAUUUACACCAAGGACAAGCUUGUCUUGUGAAAACCCAUCCACCUCAAGUAAACGUCAACAUGAAAAAUCAAAGUGGGAAUGGGAAAUGUGGGGAACUCCAACCACACAAGAGCAAGAUGUCCAAUAGGAUGAUGGGGAAUACUAGAAGUUUACUAGUACACUGAAUUGAAACUAUAUAAUUUCUCAAACCAUUUUAGCAUUCUCGGCGUAGUUAGGAAUAUGUAGAACUACUGCUAGUUAUAUAUUGAUCUCAUGCCGUAUACUUAUCUGAUAGUUCUUUGGCCAUGGCCAGAACCGACUUCACGACGGGCAAGUUAUAUGUUCUCUUAAAGCUAGAAGGGCAAAUUGAUCUAUCGGGGUCGUUCUCAAUUAUCAUAGUUUCUAUGUGGAUCAAUUAGCCCUCUUGCCUUGAAAGAACAUAUAACUUCUGAUCCUGCAACUUCAAUCUUGGCAGAAAAUUGGUCUGCUGUAGUCUCCUUCAGCUACUGGAUUGGAGUCACUUGCAGCUCUCGCCACAAGGCAGGGUUACCGAGGUCAGUAUUUCGAACAUGGGUUUCGCGGGCAGCGCUCCUCCACACCUAGGAAACCUCUCGUUUCUUGUUUCUCAUAUCUUGCUUGUUUCUCUUGACAUGAGAAACAAAUUAACUGAAACGCUGUGCUGCCAGAAAAAAAUGGUUGAUUUGGGUCGAUUGAGAUACAUUGAUUAAAUUGGGAUACAAACAACUUUGUUGAAGAGGUACCAACAUGGUUCGGUUUGUUAGAUAAGCUUCAAUCCCUGCUUUUGUCCAAGAACCAGUUUAGUGGAUAUAUACCAACAGAAAUUGGGAAUCUGUACAAGCUGCACCUGAGAAUGUUCUCUAUAACAAUUUGGAAGGUACUUUCAUCCAUCUACUGGUCAUAUUUGUGCAAUUUGUCGCAAUCAAAAUCAAAUAAUAAAGUUUUUUUUUACAGACUUGAGAAGUAUGUAGUCAUGCCUACAUGCAAAAAAGUGGAACCAUGGUUCAAAGUCGCGGUCGCGGUCAUGGUCGCGGCCCGGAACGUUCCACGUCGGUCUCGGCAUAUCGGUCACGGUCUCGGUGAGACGCAAAUUUUAAAGUAUUUAAUAUUCUAAAAAUUGUUAAUAAUAUAAAAAAAAAGUAUGCUAAACAAAAAUAAUAAAAAAUAACAAAAGAAAUGGCCAAGUCAAUCCGUCACGGUGUAACUCGGCCGAUUUCUCGUCUUGACUCAGGAUAAUUCAGAGUGACUCGGUAUGACUCGGCUGAGUCAAUCCGUCGCGGUGACGUCUCGGCCGAUUUCUCGGCGAAUCAAGUAUCUCAGUAUCGUCUCGUCACGGUAUCGUAUCGGUAGAGGUCGAGACGGUGACGACUCGGCCGAGUCAUCUCGGUCUCGGCCGAGACUUCGAACCAUUAGUGGAACUGAACCAAUAUAAAUAUUAUCAAUUAGGUUAAUUACAUCUGAAAGCCAAGCAGAAGAAAAUAGCUAUAGGUUUCUGAUUCCAGCCCAUGUGCUAAUUUUUUCUGGAGAAGUUUACUCAAUUGUCUAGAUGUCAUGAAAAUUCUUAAUGUCAGAAAGUGAUAUAAUCUACAGUUUUGCAGGAGGAAUACCAAGAGAGAUUUGUAAUUUAACUGUGCUCAAUAGCCUGGUUUUACCAUUUAUGCAAUAACCACUUGACAGAUAGAUUAAUAACAAUAGUAUUCCUUUUUGUUGAUUAACCUUCAAAGAGGCUGAAUUAUCACGUUGAUUACCCCCAUGAACAUUCAUUUGCAUCAGUCUGUCUUGACUUUUUCAGUUGUCCAGUGACUGGUAGAUAGCAGCGCAGUUGUUUGGAUGGUAGCACUCUUGCAUUUUUUUAAAAAACUUUCUCACUUUUUUUUUUUUAAGUAAGAGAUAUUGAAUUCAGAAUCUUUUACAUAUAAUAUAAUCUUUGUUUUAUCACGUUAGAAUUAGAACUGACAUUCUAAUUAUAAUAUAAUACAAAGAUGAAAUAUCCUACAUCGGAUGGAGGAAAAGAAAAGGAAAUUAUAACGUCCAAUCCAUCAAAUUACCAAUAACUUUGGAUUAAUCAUUUUGAUCCCGUGGUUUUAGCUCAAAAAGAUAUUGGGUCAGUCCAACUGGCAUAGGGGUGUUACAAGUGGUAUUAGAGCGAAUUUGCAUGGGAUAAGUCUAAACCAGCAGGUUAUGGUUCAGAUUGCGCAACGAAGUGCAAGAAACAAAGUACUAUAUGGAGUUAAGGGUCACGUCGGACGUGGGUCAAUUUUAAAACCAUAUGAGACACGUCUAGAAUCCGCACAUGAUUAAGUGGAUAAUUUGAACCGUAACAGGCUUUAUGACAAUGCAAAGUUCUAAAGAGUUACCUCUAAAAUUUGCGGACAAGCUAACGAGUCACCUCUGAAAUUCACGUACGACUAAUGAGAAUGCAAAGUUCUAAAGAACCACCUCUAGAAUCUGCGUACAACCUAAAGAAUCACCUCUAAAAUUUGUGCACGACUAAAUGAACAGUUUGAAUUGUAAUAGGUUUUGUGAGAAUGCAACGUUUUAAAAGAUGGAGAGAGUGAAGUGUCCCACAUCAGACCCAUGAAAAGAAAAGAAAUAGUAUAUAACGUCCGAUCCAUCGAAUUACUAAUAACUUUGCAUUGACGAUUAUGAGAACCUAACAUCAGCUCAAAAACCUGUUGGGUCAGUCUAGUGGGCGUGGGAUGUGACGACCCCACCUCCCCCUAAGGCGUACCAAAGGGUUCGGCGGACCGCCUGCCCAGCUCUCGCCAGGACUCACUCACUAUCUCAAUCGAAUCGUAUACACACAUCCAUGAACCAUAAAUAACAUUCACAAUUCAAACUUAUAAUUUACAUUGAUAGGAAUCGAGGUACAAAGUCUUAAUACACCCAACUAGUUCAAAAAGUAUACAAUCCAAGUACAACAUGUUCCGUUCGAGGAAAAACGCGAGUACAAGACCAAAAGUCCGAAGUCAAAACAAAAGGCUACACUAGUCUUUUACAAGUCCCUCGCGUCACUCGUACCCCUGUAAGGAAAACAAACUAAUGGGGUGAACCAAAGCUCAGUGAAGUUCCCAAAUAUCAAAUUGGUCAACAACCAAGUUAUAGCAAAAUAAAAGUGAAAUAGCGAGCAAACAAGUCAAAUCAGGGAAAUAGUACUUCAGCUAGCCAAGUAGUCAGAUUCAUAUUCACAUAUAAGGAUACAGUACUCAUUUUCAGCUCCAUUCCAGCUUGGUUAAGUGGUAGUUGACACUCCGUCAACUUUCAAGUAAUAUCCAGUCCAAAUAAACUCCACUACACGCCAAUUUCCGUCCACCGAUCAACCCCCUAUUCCGGGCCCGCACGCCAUACAAAACAUGGGUGGUAAUACUCGAGUAUACUGUUAGUCGAGGAGAUAACACUCCACUCGACAUUACAAGUGACCCAGGGUUUGUUAUCUAAUCGACCAGGCCCUUGCCGGCUCGACUCGAUUAACUAGCCACAGGGUUUUCUGGAAUUCCAGGCAAGAUAUAAUUCAAGUACAUGUACAACAAGUCAAGUAUGAUCAAUAGCAAGAACAGGUCAUAUUAGGGCAAGUGCGAUAAAGUACACCCUUGCCCUUUCAUUCAUUGUCAUGUAAUCACGCAAGUCAAGUAAGGAGUACACAUAUCAAGUACAAUCGGAUAUUUGGAAGCACUCACCAAAAUAGUGCUUCUAGUGCUCGUGUCUGGGUGGUACUCCGAGUUGGGAGUCCAAAUCUGCGAUAAAACUUAACUUGAGAACUUUGAAAAUCAACCAAGGUUUGAAACUUAAGUGUUUCGUUCAAUAAGAAUCAAGAAAUUGAAAUUCACUUGAGAAGAGUCGUGAAAUAGUUGCUCGCUCUUUAAACUGAAAAAUUAAAUAACAUUUUUGCUUGAAGAUGACUCUUGAGUCAAAAGUGCAAGUAAAACGGUUUCGUAGUGAUUCAUAUCAUUUUCCUAAGGGUACAAGUUCGGCCAAGUCCUAACAUAUAACCCUCGAUAAACAAGUGGCAAAAGUCCUCGAUAGUUCAAGUAAUAAUCACUUAACCUUCACUCAAGUCGCAAAGAUAGUUUUCUAGACCUCGAGUAAAAAUUUGGGCAGCAUGCCCUUUGUGUUUACCUAAUUUCCAGCCAUUUAGGCUUCAUUAUUUUUCUUCAACAACAUCCCAACAUCAUACAAAUAAGCAAUUUAUGUCAAGAGCCGUUCCAUAGGCUCACAAUAUCAUAACAACACGAAUUGCAUCAAGUACAAGUGCAGAAACGCAAUGUAGUUCAAUACAGAUUUGACGUACAAAUGCGGUAAUACCAUACCUGAGGCUACGCUUAUCGGAUUAAAACGAAACCUACGCCGUUUCGAAGCUAAGGCACAGAGCUACAACAUUCAUGAAGGUCACUUAGUCCAUUUCCUAAUGUAACUUAGUCAAAAUCUCAGAUUACUAAACCAGAAACCAAUUCACCGGCAGUUUAAACGCAUUAUGCUGUAAUGGACCUAACUCAGUGUACACAAGUCCGAAUCAGGUUUUCUUUGAGGCAUUUUAAAGCUACUUCAGAACACUACAACUUUUAUGUUUUGGCCCAGAGCUAAAUCAGAAUGGAUCCUGGUCAAAAAUCGUGAUAAACUGGACUGAACUGAAGAAACGGACUGCUGGGAAAUUCUUAAAACAGUAGGGGUAUUUUGGACUUUUCACAUUCUGCGUUGCUCCGAUUGAGCUGAAAUUUUAUAGGCACCUAUAAAAUACCAUUCUCUACAACUUUCCUUCUUUGACCAAAGGCCAAUUCGGCCUCUAACAUAUAGAUACAAUUUCGGACAGAAUGCUUGGGAAAUUUUCCAGAAAUCUGGAAUUGUUUAGCUCUAAGUGAAUCUCAAAUUUCUGGUUCUAAUCACCACUAAACACCUUAUAUAACUUUAAUUGCAACAUUCAUGCAUCAUACAUCAACUUGAGCAGAAAAUCAGAAACCCUAGUUCAUCAAAUAAAUUGGGGAAAAACUUCUACACAUGCUAGCAUCCAUGAAUCUACCACCAAUCAAGCUACUAAGCUUACUUUAACCAUGAUUGAAAGAGAAAGUUAGAGAGAUAUCAUCCUCUUACCUUGAUUUGAGUCUCCAAGAUAGCACCAAGCUCUUCUCUUCCCAAAACUUCCACCACCAAUCACUAGAUAAUCACUCAAGAGUAGGUUUAAUCGGUUUACUUUGUUGAUUUUCUCACUAAGUUGUUGGAUUUGAAGGUGAAAUGAAGAAAUCUUCCUUGGUGUUUUCUCCAAGCUAAGUUCGGCCAGCACCAGCAGAAAUGAGGAAGAAUGGCUAAGUGUUGAGGUUAUAUGGAUGGUAAUGGUCUUGGUAAGAAGCCAUGAGGUGGUGACAAGUGUCACCACCACCACCCUUUCUUUUUCUCUUUCUUUCUUGCCUUUCUUAGCCACAAUUUCGGUCAACAUGCUGCCAAGAGAGAAGAUAUUAUGUACAAAAGUCAACAAACUUGUUGGGUAAGAAAAAUGGUGGUCAAGUGGUGCGUUCAAUCGGUAAUGCGCGGGACCCGCCGGUUCGCGCCGUUUUUCUUAAAAACUCACGUACUAGGGUUUUUACUUCCCAUUCACUAACCUUAUAUCAUUGCUACUACUUACAUAUUAUUUCUCACUUAAAAGUCACUUUUAAUCAUCAAAUUGAUCCUCGGCCAGUACCGAAAAUUCAUCCGGCGGAAAAAUCGCAAAAACCCUAAUUUUGCUCAAAACUUGAAACCAAAGCGUAAAACCUUAUUUUCUAGGUUUAUUUACACUUAGUGUGAAAUAAUGAGGUAGGGGCCUUAAUAAAUAAUAAUUUUCAAAUAAAAGGUAUUUUUGAGGAAAAAUGUAGGAAAUUUGCGGGUCCUCACAUCCUCUCCCCCUUAAAAGAAUUUCGACCUCGAAAUUCAUACCUUUUGUCGCGAACAGGCCAGGAUACUUUUCUUGCAUAUCCGUUUCUAGCUCCCAAGUUGCUUCUUCCACUUCAUGAUGCUUCCAUAGUACCUUUACUAAAGGAAUCUGCUUGUUUCUCAAGUCCUUCACCUUUCGAUCCAGUAUUUGAAUAGGUCGUUCUUCAUAGGUUAAAGACUCGUCAAGUUCAACAUCUUCGGGUGGCAAAAUGUGAGUCGGAUCCGGAUGGUAUUUCUUAAGCAAAGAAACGUGGAAAACGUCAUGGAUCCUAGAUAAGCUAGCUGGUAACUCAAGUCGAUAAGCCACCUUUCCUAUUCGCUGAGCACCUUGAAAGGUCCUAUAUAUCGUGGUUGCAACUUUUUCCCUUUUCCGGAUCUAAUCUUUCCCUUCAAUGGUGUGAUCCGAAGAAACACCUUAUCUCCUAUUUCAAACUCCAAGUCUUUCCUCCUAUGAUCGGCAUAGCUUUUCUGACGGCUUUGGGCGGUUUGAAGUCUCUGGCGGAUCACUCUCACCUUUUCAUAGGUUUCCUCAACCCAUGGUAUAGUAGCCGGAUCUAUGACUUUUCUCUCCCCUACUUCAUCCCAAUGGAUUGGAGAUCGACAUCGUCGUCCGUACAAAGCUUCAUAUGGAGCCAUUUGAAUAGAGGAAUGAUAACUAUUGUUAUACGCGAAUUCAACCAAAGUCAAGUAUUGGCUCCAACUUCCUUUAAAAUCCACAAUACAAGCUCUCAGCAUAUCCUCAAGAGUUUGAAUAGUUCUCUCAGAUUGUCCAUCAGUUUGUGGAUGAUAUGCUGUACUAUAACUCAACUUAGUUCCUAGAGCCUCUUGUAACUUCUGCCAAAAUCGAGAUACAAACCUGGGGUCUCUAUCCGAUACAAUACUCACUGGUACCCCAUGUAAUCUUACUACCUCAUCCAUAUAAAUUUUAGCAAGUUUCUCCAAAGGAUAUUUCAUGUUCACUGGCAGAAAAUGUGCAGUCUUAGUUAAUCUAUCCACUAUCACCCAAAUUGCAUCAUGCCCCUUUUGUGUUCGUGGCAAUCCUGACACAAAAUUAUCGUUAUGUGCUCCCACUUCCACUCAGGGAUCUCUAAAGGCUGUAACAAACCUGACGGCUUUUGAUGCUCAGCUUUCACCUGUUGGCACGUAAGACAUUUUUGCACAAACUGGGCAAUCUCCGCCUUCAUUUUCUCCCACCAAUACAGAUUCCUAAGAUCUUGGUACAUUUUAUUAUUCCCUGGGUGCACCGUAUACCUAGAGCAAUGUGAUUCCUCUAAAAUCUCCCUUUUCAAUUCCUCAUCCCUAGGUACCACGACACGAUUUCGAAACUUUAAAAUUCCAUCAGGGCUUAGAUUAAAAUUAGGUAACUCCCCUUUCUUCACUCUCUCUACCCACUUCUGCACUAUUGGAUCCUUCACUUGGCCCUCUUUGAUUCGUUCCAUCAAUGCCGAUUUCGCCUCAAUAUUUCCAAAAACCACCUUUUCCGGUUCCAAACGAGGUUUCCACUCACAUACAUCUUCCAAUAGGCUCCACUCUCUCACUAUAGAACUUGCUAGUUGAGCCUUCCGGCUUAAAGCAUCUGCUACAACGUUGGCCUUUCCAGGAUGAUAGUUAAUUGUACAGUCAUAAUCCUCUAAGAACUCUACCCACCGACGUUGUCUUAGAUUCAACUCCUUCUGGGAAAACAGAUACUUAAGACUUUUAUGAUCCGUAAAAACCUCAAAAGUUACACCAUAAAGAUAAUGUCGCCAUUUCUUCAAAGCGAACACUACAGCUGCAAGUUCCAAGUCAUGGGUCGGGUAAUUUUGCUCAUGAGUUUUUAACUUUCGGGAUGCGUAGGCAAUCACAUUCCUAUUCUGCAUCAACACGCACCCUAGCCCUUCUUUUGAAGCAUCGGUAUAAACCGUAUAACUAUCCUUUCCAUUGGGCAAAGCUAAAACUGGAGCCAUAGUCAAUUGUUUCUUAAGCUCUUGGAAACCAUUUUCACACUUAACAUCCCAAAUAUAUUUUCCUUGUUUCUUGGUCAGGUUAGUCAAGGGUCCUGCAAUUCUCGAGAAAUUCUUUAUAAAUCUGCGGUAGUAUCCUGCUAAACCUAGAAAACUUCGCACCUCGGUGGGAUUUUCUGGCCGUUUCCAUUUAGCCACAGCUUCCACUUUCGCCGGGUCUACAGCAAGGCCAUCUUUCGAAAUUAUAUGACCUAAAAACGCCACCUCUUCCAACCAAAAUUCAUACUUACUGAACUUAGCAAACAGUUGGUUCUCUCUUAGGGUUUGCAAUACUAUCCGCAAAUGUUGUUCAUGCUCCUCCCUUGACCUCGAAUACACCAAGAUGUCAUCAAUGAACACCACUACAAACCUAUCCAAGUAAGGUUUGAACACUCGAUGCAUCAGAUCCAUGAAUGCUGCUGGGGCAUUGGUUAAACCAAAAGGCAUCACUGCGAACUCAAAAUGCCCAUAUCGAGUGUUAAACGCCGUUUUUGGCACAUCCUCCUUCUUAACUCUCAAUUGAUAAUACCCUUGUCGCAGGUCCAACUUAGAAAAUACUACAGCCCCUUGUAACUGAUCAAAUAACUCAUCUAUGUGGGGCAAAGGAUAUUUAUUCUUAAUAGUUACUGCAUUCAGCCCUCGAUAGUCAAUACACAACCUCAAACUUCCGUCUUUCUUUUUAACAAAUAACACUGGAGCUCCCCACGGCGACUCGCUCUCAUGUAUAAACCCCCGUUCUAGCAAGUCCUGUAAUUGCACCUUUAAUUCCUUAAACUCAGCAGGUGCCAUACGAUAAGGAGUUUUAGAAAUAGGAGUGGUUCCGGGUACUAAAUCAACCUUAAAUUCCACCUCCCUUUCAGGUGGCAAGGACUUCAACUCCUCCGGAAAUACGUCCGGGAAUUCACUGAUUACUGGCAUGUCUUCCAACUUAGUCUUUUCUCCUGGAGUGUUAAUUAGGAAGGCUAGGUAACCACGAGCCCCACGACUAAGUAAUUUCCUAGCCCUUAUACCCGAAAUAAGUGCAGAAGAGGCUAUCAUACCCCUCACAUCAAGCUUUAGUGUUGCCUCCCCCGGUAUACAAAAUUCAACCACCUUCAUCUUACAAUCUACCCGAGCAUGAUAAUAAGCUAGCCAAUCCAUACCUAGGAUAACAUCGUACCCCUUAAUGGCUAGACUAAUGAGGUCCACUACCAAUUUUCGUUCGCCAAUCCAAAUAUCACAAUUCCUAUACACCUCAUUCGCAAGCAAAAUUUGAUUACCUGUAGGUGUUUUUACCUCUAAGUCACAAGGUAACCUUUCAACUUUCAAGUCAAUUCCAAACAUAAAUGCAGGAUUAACAAAAGAGUGAGUAGCACCGGGGUCUAUCAAAAUUCUAGCUAACCGGUGAAAAACAGGGAUUGUACCUUCUACCACCCUGGUUGGUUCAGGCACAGUUGUUUGAUCUAGCGAGUACACUCUGGCCGGUACCCUCGACCUGGCCCCUCCAGCAGUAGUCGGCUUUGGGUUUGACCUGGCAGUCGACUGAGUGUCAUUGAUUAGCGGACAAUUGACCAUCUGAUGAUCCGCACUUCCGCACCUCAAGCACUUCCGAGCCUUUCUCCAGCACUCGUCCUCAGUGUGGUUCGAUUUUCCACAAUACCCACAUGUCACUCGGGGAGUGGAGGUUUGACCUCCCUGAGUAAAACCUCUACCUUGACCUCUACCACCUUGGCCUCCCCUCUGGGCAUUCCCUCUUGGAGCACUGCCCCUAAACGUGUUUGAGAAUCGUCCACCUCCAGCUCCACGACCGGAUUUAGCAGGUGGCAUGCUCCGCUCGCCUCGUACCGACCCUUGGGCUCCACUAGGUGCCCCUUUUCGCUUAGCGUGGAAAUUCCUUACUUGCGUCCUAGCAGUUUCUAUCCUCAAGGCCUUCUCCAGAACCUCCGUGAAAGUAUUGAUUUGAACCGCUGCUAAGGUUUCUUGUAAUUCCACAUUUAACCCUUGUAUAAACCUUCGUACUUUCCUUGGUUCCGUAGCAAUCAAUUCGGGAGCGAAUUUAGACAAUUUGGUAAACUGAGUCUCAUACUCCGUUACACUCAUCAGCCCCUGACGGAGUUUAAUGAAUUCGUACUCUCUCUUCUCCUGGACGAUGGGUGGAAGGUAUUUUUCGUUGAAAUCCCGCACAAAGUUUAACCAAGUCCAUACAGUUCCUUCUCUCUCCCAUUUGGCCCUUAUCACAUUCCACCAAGCCCUAGCUGGCCCCUCAAACUGGAAUACAGCAAAUUGAACUUGUCUCUCCUCAGUAUAGUUUAGGGCAGCAAAGAUAUUUAUCAUGGCCUCCAGCCAUUUCUCAGCCUCAUACGGGUCUGGUCCUCCUAAGAAUUUGGGUGGAGAGAACUUCUGGAAUCUCUCCAAGGCUCUAUCUUGCCCUGAAUCAGGGUCUCUAGGUUGAUUUACAGAACCUUGACCCUGUUGCUCCACCAACCGAGUCAAAAUAUUGGUCAUCUGUUGGAUGGCAGUGGCCACCUGAUCUCCCCCGGCAGUCUGGGGUUCAGGUUGCUGCUCAACCGCUGCCUCCCUCUCCUCUCUGGGUUCAGGUACCGGUUCCUGUACUUGUUCACCUUCACGGCCUCGCCUAGAACCGCGUUCUCGGUUAGUUUUCUUGGUCCGACUCCUUUUAUCUUCUAUGUUGAGAGUUAACCAACUAGAAACAUAUAAACGGGGUAAGGUACGACUCAUAUAUCGCGUUGCAACAAAUAUCUAGAGGCAAGAAAACACGUAAGAAACAAGCACUUUAUUUACAUAACAAACAAGUCGUAUAUACAGGCCAACAAGUCACGUAGUCAAAGGCUAUAACAGCCAAGGAACAUAGAACAAAAGAUAUUUACAUCCACCAGAACACGUCUAAAACAAAAACAAAAGAAGACAUGUCGUUCCACUAUGUUUCUAACUAGCUCACAAAAACUCCUAAAACCCCGAUCCUAACAAGUGGUCUGGCUAGACGCCGACCCAACCGACUCCGAGGACGCGCUCGGCUCCUCCCCCAGGUCCUCUUCAGGAUCCUCCUCAGGAGUACCAGGGACCUCAGGAACUACAGGCGCUUGGCCUUCCUCGACCAAGUCCUGUAUCACAUCCUCUACAAGUGCUUCGCACUCGGUCAGGAUGCGGUCGGUCCGGUCGCGUAUAUCUCCAACGACACGCAUCAGACGUCCGGUCGUCGCAUGAGCCUGAUCACGGUAAGCAUCAGACUGCUGCUGCUCUGCCAGAACUGCGGCCUCCAACUCGCGUAUCCGAGCUCCCUGAUCUCGGAGAGUGGCCUGGAGACGCUCUAUCUCCGCAAAGCACCUACGAUUGGUGCUACCCAAUCGUCUCCGCUCGUCAUCCACGGCGAGCACUACUCGGUCUGGAUAGGAGUAGGUCCUCCAACAGUCGCAGCGCCGGAUCUUGCGCGCAGGGGACCACCGCUGUACUGGCCCGCCGGGAACCUCCUGGUAUGUGAUCACACGGCAUACAGGGCCCGCUAGAUAUGGCUCGACCACGGGAGCGUCAGUAGGUACGUCAGUAGGCACCUCAGACACAUCAGUAGGUAUCUCCGUCGGUAUGUCAGUAGGUGCGGGGUGGGACGGUCCAGCACCCCCAGAAGAGUCAGUGUCUGCCAUCACCUAGGUUUGCAAAUAACAUUGCAAGGGUAAGUACACAUCAAGCACAAAACAAGACUAAGGUUAAGCUCGAUAAUAACACCCUAGCUUAUCAAGUCAAGCACUCAAUCUAUCCAGAUCAAUUCAAGCCUAAGCUCUGAUACCACCUGUGACGACCCCACCUCCCCCUAAGGCGUACCAAAGGGUUCGGCGGACCGCCUGCCCAGCUCUCGCAAGGACUCACUCACUAUCUCAAUCGAAUCGUAUACACACAUCCAUGAACCAUAAAUAACAUUCACAAUUCAAACUUAUAAUUUACAUUGAUAGGAAUCGAGGUACAAAGUCUUAAUACACCCAACUAGUUCAAAACGUAUACAAUCCAAGUACAACAUGUUCCGUUCGAGGAAAAACGCGAGUACAAGACCAAAAGUCCGAAGUCAAAACAAAAGGCAACACUAGUCUUUUACAAGUCCCUCGCGUCACUCGUACCCCUGUAAGGAAAACAAACUAACGGGGUGAGCCAAAGCUCAGUGAAGUUCCCAAAUAUCAAAUUGGUCAGCAACCAAAUUAUAGCAAAAUAAAAGUGAAAUAGCGAGCAAACAAGUCAAAUCAGGGAAAUAGUACUUCAGCUAGCCAAGUAGUCAGAUUCAUAUUCACAUAUAAGGAUACAGUACUCAUUUUCAGCUCCAUUCCAGCUUGGUUAAGUGGUAGUUGACACUCCGUCAACUUUCAAGUAAUAUCCAGUCCAAAUAAACUCCACUACACGCCAAUUUCCGUCCACCGAUCAACCCCCUAUUCCGGGCCCGCACGCCAUACAAAACAUGGGUGGUAAUACUCGAGUAUACCGUUAGUCGAGGAGAUAAUACUCCACUCGACAUUACAAGUGACCCAGGGUUUGUUAUCUAAUCGACCAGGCCCUUGCCGGCUCGACUCGAUUAACUAGCCACAGGGUUUUCUGGAAUUCCAGGCAAGAUAUAAUUCAAGUACAUGUACAACAAGUCAAGUAUGAUCAAUAGCAAGAACAGGUCAUAUUAGGGCAAGUGCGAUAAAGUACACUCUUGCCCUUUCAUUCAUUGUCAUGUAAUCACGCAAGUCAAGUAAGGAGUACACAUAUCAAGUACAAUCGGAUAUUUGGAAGCACUCACCAAAAUAGUGCUUCUAGUGCUCGUGUCUGGGUGGUACUCUGAGUUGGGAGUCCAAAUCUGCGAUAAAACUUAACUUGAGAACUUUGAAAAUCAACCAAGGUUCGAAACUUAAGCGUUUCGUUCAAUAAGAAUCAAGAAAUUGAAAUUCACUUGAGAAGAGUCGUGAAAUAGUUGCUCGCUCUUCAAACUGAAAAAUUUGAUAACAUUUUUGCUUGAAGAUGACUCUUAAGUCAAAAGUGCAAGUAAAACGGUUUCGUAGUGAUUCAAAUCGUUUUCCUAAGGGUACAAGUUCGGCCAAGUCCUAACGUAUAAUCCUUGAUAAACAAGUGGCAAAGGUCCUCGAUAGUUCAAGUGAUAAUCACUUAACCUUCACUCAAGUCGCAAAGAUAGUUUUCUAGACCUCGAGUAAAAAUUCGGGCAGCAUGCCCUUUGUGUUUACCUAAUUUCCAGCCAUUUAAGCUUCAUUAUUUUUCUUCAACAAUAACCCAACAACAUACAUAUCAGCAAUUCAAGCCAAGAGCCGUCUCAUAGGCUCACAAUAUCAUAAUAACAAGAAUCGUAUUAAGUACAAGUGCAGAAACGCAAUUUAGUUCAAGACAGAUUUGACGUACAAAUGCGGAAAUAACAUAUCCGAGGCUACACUUAUUGGAUUGAGACGAAACCUAUGCCAUUUCGAAGCUAAGACACAAAGCUACAACAUUCAUGGAGGUCACUUAGUCCAUUUCCUAAUGUAACUUAGUCAAAAUCUCAGAUUACUAAACCAGAAACCAAUUCACCGGCUGUUUAAACGCAGAACACUGUAAUGAUCAUAACUCAGUGUACACAAGUCCGAAUCAGGUGUUCUUAGAGGCAUUUUAAAGCUACUUCAGAGCACUACAACUUUCAUGUUUUGGCCCAGAGAUAAAUCAGAAUGGAUCCUGGUCUAAAAUCGUGAUAAACUGGACUGAAUUGAAGAAACGGACUGCUGGGAAAUUCUUAGAACAGUAGGGGUAUUUUGGACUUUUCACGACCUACAUUGCUCCGAUUGAGCUGAAAUUUUACAGACACCUAUAAAAUGCCAUUCUCUACAACUUUCCUUCUUUGGCCAAAGGCCAAUUCGGCCUCUAACAUACAGAUACAAUUUCGGACAGAAUGCUUGGGAAAUUUUCCAGAAAUCUGGAAUUUUUAGCUCUAAGUGUAAUUUCCUCAAAUUUCUGGUUCUAAUGACCACUAAACAACCUUAUAUAACUUUAAUUGCAACAUUCAUGCAUCAUACAUCAACUUGAGCAGAAAAUCAGAAACCCUAGUUCAUCAAAUAAAUUGGGGAAAAGCUUCUACACAUGCUAGCAUCCAUGAAUCUACCACCAAUCAAGCUACUAAGCUUACUUUAACCAUGAUUGAAAGAGAAAGUUAGAGAGAUAUCAUCCUCUUACCUUGAUUUGAGUUCUCCAAGUAUAGCCCCAAGCUCUCUCUUCCCAAAUUUCCACCACCAAUCACUAGAUAAUCACUCAAGAGUAGGUUUAAUCGGUUUACUUUGUUGAUUUUCUCACUAAGUUGUUGGAUUUGAAGGUGAAAUGAAGAAAUCUUCCUUGGUGUUUUCUCCAAGCUCCUCUCGGCCAGCACCAGCAGAAAUGAGGAAGAAUUGGCUAAGUGUUGAGGUUAUAUGGAUGGUAUUGGUCUUGGUAAGAAACCAUGAGGUGGUGACAAGUGUCACCACCACCACCCUUUUUUUUUUCUCUUUCUUUCUUGCCUUUCUUGACCACUAAUUUUCAGUCAAGGCUGCUACAAUAUAAGAAGAUAUUAUGUACAAAAGUCAACAAACUUGUUGGGUAAGAAAAAUGGUGGUCAAGCGGUGCGUUCAAUCGGUAAUGCGCGGGACCCGCCGGUUCGCGCCGUUUUUCUUAAAAACUCACGUACUAGGGUUUUUACUUCUCAUUCACCAACCUUAUAUCAUUGCUACUAGUCACAUAUUAUUUCUCACUUAAAAGUCACUUUUAAUCAUCAAAUUGAUCCUUGGCCAGUACCGGAAAUUCAUCCGGCGGAAAAAUCGAAAAACCCUAAUUUUGCUCAAAACUUGAAACCAAAGCGUAAAACCUUAUUUUUCUAGGUUUAUUUACUCUUAGUGUGAAAUAAUGAGGUAGGGGCUUUUGAUAAAUAAUAAUUUUCAAAUAAAAGGCAUUUUUGGGGAAAAAUGUAGGAAAUUUGCGGGUCCUCACAUGGGACGUUACAAAAGAUCUUAAUCAUUGGAUCGCGUUCUCAAAGACUAAGUAAAAUGAUCCAACAUCUGGAAUCUGACGACUCGGUAUACCGAUGGGAUGUUAGUUAAUGAUACUCUUGAAUUAUUGCAGAAUAUUGGUUGUUGAAAAUUUUCAUGGGCGCUUAAAUGUUUAAGUGAUGCUGCCCACUCUUUUGCUAAUCUUUUAAUAGAUUAUGUGAGUAUAUGGGAUCCUUGGUGCAACUCAUACUACUUCUAUGUUUAUGUCAAGUGUGCUAUUUAUUUAAAUUGUCAUAUACUCUUUAAUUUUAUAAUAACUCAAAUUGAUUUGAUUUAACUCAAGUUUCCUUUAACCUCACAUAGUAAGUGGGACUGAUAUUGAAUUUAAUAUCAAAUACUGGUAUUGAGAAUCCCAACUCUUAUGUGGAAGAACUCCCCUCCAUUUUUUGCUAUUCCACAUAUGCUGCGGAUCUUCCUUAAUGAAAUCGGCUUUAAGUUUUUCUAGAAAAAAUAAUUCAUUGGACCGCAUGUAUUAGUAACUUUUAGUCCCAUAGCUUAUUCACAAGAAUUAAUGCUAAUGCUAUUAAUAAGCUAACUAGAAAUCAUCUAGUAUAAUUUGUUUCAUAAAAUUAGAAGAGGAAUUCUAUAAAAAUUCAGUUAGGCUGGUAGAUUUAGCAUAGUUUACUAAAGUAUGCAAAACUUUAUUUGCUCCCCUGAAAAUUCUUUGAAUAUCACCAUAAUUUUGUUCUAACAAAACCAAUCGCACGUCUGCAAUCAUAGGUUGUUUAGAUGGUACACUUGUACUUAGUGGCGGAGCCAGAAAAAAUUUUCAGUGGGGGCAAAAGCAACUGUAAAAUUUUUUACCUACUCUUUUUUUAGUUUUUUAAGGAAAAAAUAUUGACCAACAAGUACAAAUGAUGCAUAUAUUUCAUGAAAAACAUUAAAAGACAAACUGAAAAUUAUUAAUGUAAUAAUAAUUUUAUUUCAAAAGCAAACUAAAUCAUUUACAAUUGUUCAUGACGAGUUUUCAUAUUUUGAUAACGGUUUACAACCUUUUCAUUUUGAAUUCCACGAAAUAUAUUUUUCUCAAUAUAAGUAACUAAACAAUUAUUCAUCCAAGUGUCUUCCAUUUUAUUUUGUAACCGAUUCUUCACUAUAUUCAUCAUUGAAAAAACCCUUUCUAUGGUAGUUGUAACAACAUGUAAAAUCAAAGACAACUUUAAAAGUAUAUAAACCAAUAGAUACAUAAAACACCAGGGGCACACUUGAAAUUAUAUCAAAUUUUUAUAGGUAUCAUAGAAAUUUAAGGGGGUAGUGGGGGCCUAUAAACCAAUAAAUACACAAAACUCGAGGGGGCACGCUUAAAAUUACAUCAAAAUGUUAUAGGUAUCAUAGAAAUUUAAGAGCCCCCAAGUGUAAAUUCGCCACUACUUGUACUCAUUUGGCAGGUUCAAUUCGACAAGAAAUCAGCAACCUAUUCAAAAGGGGUAACGUGAAUUGCACGCGUUCUCCCCCUUAGGUUAGGAUAGUGUAAGAUAGUAUAGAUAAAGUGACCAUUGACAAAAAAAAAAAAAAGAAUUGCAUGUGUUCUGAAAAUAUUGAAAAAUUGCAAAGCUUAGUUCCUUAUCUUAAUGAGUAAAUCUUAUAUGCAUUGAUAGAAUAUACACUAUUACCGCUAUAUUUUUGACAUUUGAGCAAAACUUGAAUUCAAAUUCAAAUUUUGCGUGUUAUCAUUUAUCAAAUACUGACAGUGUAUACACUAUCAGUGUAGAAAAGAUUAAUCCUAUCUUAAUUAAGUCGUUGUUUAAUUACCACGGGAUUCAUCAUUCAUGGCUAACAAAUUCAGAGCUUUACUAUUAAAAAUUUGAUCAAAUUAGUCCCUUUAUUAGAAAACCGGUCCCUUAAAUUUAAAGAUUUGGUCAUUGUGACCAUAAAAAUUAUAAAAUUUACAUCAAUUAAUUUGCAUUGGACGAAUUUCAACUUGUAAGGCAAUUGAUACACCUACAUGUAUAGAAGACUUCGGUCAAAAUGAGUACCGUUGUAAUUGUUUAGAAUAAUUGCUCAAUCAGAUAUAUUGGGAGAUGUUAUUGGCUUAUUUAAAAAUGUCUUUGCUGCUCCAUUUCUCUCUUUAUGCUUUUAAAGCGAGGAUGGAGUGCUAAAUGCUUUUUUAUAAGUGCUAAUAUCAUAAUUUUCUCGUAUUCUUCCAUUGAUUAGACAUUAUUGGUCUUUGUUGACGAUAGUUACUCACCGAUCAGUAGGGUCUGCAGUUGAAAUAGACGCAUCUCUACCAUGUAGAAGUGUAGAAGAGAUGAAGGUCUUAUGAAUAGCAUGGGCGUCGUCCGCUGACUUGCUCUGCGAGGCUUACUUUUUUUUUUUUGGCCUUUUUAUCAUAUGGGUUAUGAGGAUCCACAAAGAGCUCACGUUCAACUAAUGGGUAACAGAACGAGACAUCUAUGGACCUUAAAUUUAGACUAAAGACCCCACGAUCUUCCGAUGUGGAUGAUUGUCCAACUCCUCGUGGAGACUCACAAAGAACCUACGUUUAACCAAUUAGUGACAGAAUGAGAUCCCUAUAGACCUUAAACCCAGAAUAAAGAUCCCACGAUUUUUCGAUGUGAGAUGGGCCAUUUGUGUCUCUAUCGUUUUGUGUCUUUAUUUACCAUGCUGGUUUGUUACUUUGUUAUUUGUUGUGUGUUCUGUAAUACCCCUUUCAUGUGCCAUUUAUUUCAGCUUUGCCAUAAUCUUUAUUUCAUCAUUAAACUUUAAUGGAUAAUAUAUUUCUUUAUCUUGCUAUUUGCACAUACAUCAUUCUCUAUUCUAAAAUUUCUAACAAAAAAUAUGUAUUUAUAUAUGGUAGUUUUAUUUUUAUUUAUUUUUUUUGCAGAUACACUUCCUCAUAAUAAUACUGCAGAUGCCAUAUUUUCAUCUGGAAAUAACAGAACUGGUACAUAAUUCUUUCUAUGCAAAAAAAUUAUUUUUUGCUUGUUUAUACUGAAAAUACUAUUAGCUGUCUAACAUAUUAUGUAACCAUAGAUCGUAGACACCUUGUACACAUACUAUGUUUUAUUGAUGUCUAAGAAUACUAAUAUUUAAGUGUUAACCUUCUUAUGGAUUUUAGAAAGUCUUAUAUUUUUACUGUAGCACUUUUUGGAUGUGUUUGGAUUGUAAGUUAUUUGAGAUAUUUUUACUGUAACACUUUUUGUGAUGUGAUGUAUGUGAGAUAAAAAGGUAAUUGGGAAGAUAAAAAGGCAUAUUGGAAAUUGUAAUAGUGAUGUAAGCAAAUAUAUUUAGACAAAUAACUUACAAUCCAAACACAUAUGUGACAUCUAUGAUGUUUGAUGCCCACGCAGAAAUAUAAACCUCCAUGUACCUUGGUUUAGCAUGCAUAUGCAUAUAUCACAUGUAUACUUUUGUAUGGAUUAUGUGUACACAUAUAUGUAUCUAUAUGUGAAUUUCUACAUGUAUUAAAUAUAUCUACUCUUCUUGGUCUUAUAUUUUUACUCAUGCAUUUAUUAAUAAAACUGAUGUCUAUAUUUGUUUACAUGAACAAAAUGAUAUUAAAGAUUAGUUUUUUGGUUUAAAUGAAUGCUUUUCUAUCUCAUAAUAAUUCUAGAAAAUUAUGAAAUUAGCAUAUCAAUUGCACUUAUUAUUAUGAUUAAGGAAUAACUUCUUUUCUCCCGCCCCCCAACCCAAAAAAAAUUAUUAUACUUAAUAAAAAAACUUUCUUAAAAAAAAUUAACAACUCCUUAAACGUCUAUAUAUUCCAUAACCAUUAAUGUUUUCCUUCCUUUGACUUUGUUUAGAAAAUAAUAUUUAAGUACUUAUUAAACAUCUGUAUAUUUCAUAAUCGCUACUGUUUUUUUUUUUUUUUUUUUUGCUUUUUGCAAUGCUUCAUUUAGCUUAUCUUCUUCAUCUCCUCUUAUUUGUUUGGUCUUCUCCAUGCAAGCAAUAAUUUAUCCUCUGGCACUCUCAUCUUGGCAUUGCAAUUCUUUUUCAUAAUGAUGUUCUUCACCUUCCUCGGUUUCUUCAUCUUUCUUUUUUAGUAUGAUGUGUUUAUGCUGGGAUCAUGUUCUACUUUUUCCUCAAGACAUAUAAUGGCUUGCUUUUCUUUGUAGUUUAUUCAGUUUAGCUAUAUACGAGAUGAAACAAUAUUUCCUCAUAACCGUUUUGGCUAAUACAAGAUGAAACAAUAUUUCAUCAUUCAACAAAAUCUUUCUUUUGUUGGAAGUUUUUUCCUUCAAAAUUUCAUUGAUAAUUAUUACUUGCAUUCUAUUUCCAUUUAUUCUUGUGAACUUAUUUUUGAGUUUUAUUUACAUAAUAUACCACUACAAAAUAAAAGAAAAGCCAAAAGAUCAUAUAAAAAUUGCGGGUUCCACCAACUAGUUAAUAUUUAAUACUCGACAAAGUAAAAAUAUUGUCCUCAAUUGGUAGGUGAAGGAGCGUAUUGUAUUUGUCUUCUAAUCAUCACAUUGUGGCUACAAAUCUCUCUUUUUUAAUUCAUUAAAUCGGUUUCAAAAAUAUUUAGAUCAACAUCAAAAGUUCCCAUAAUUCAUCAAACAGCAUCUAUGACUUUCAUACCAUUCUUUUGAUUUUUGAUGUUUAUUACUAGAAGCCAAAUAUUACAAUUAAUUUGCUCUUGGAUGUGAUUGUAAUUGUGAAGCAUAGUUGCAAAAAUGGACAGCGUGAAUUAGAGUUCAGACUUCAUAAUCAUAACUGAAUCAUUUUAAGGUUUUGAAAUCAAGUACAAAAGUUUAGGGUAAUCAUACCCUGCCUAGCUCCCUGAACUAUGGGUAAUCACAUUUUGUACCCAUCAACUAAACGUUUUACUCACAAUAUGAAAAGGGGAUAAUUUCAGAAACUUCCCCUGAGGUUUCUGACUGUUUCAUUGAGGUUUGCAAUAUUACAUUGGCCUUUCCUGACAAAAAUUUGGGCUCGAUUACUUACAUCACAUGGCGUAAAAUUACUACUAUGCCUAAAGAUAUUAUGCAUUAUUAGAAGAUUAAUAUCUAAUAAAUGAAUAAUUAGGGCUCAAAUUAAUUAAUUCCAAUUGAUUAAUGAACAUAAAUAUGGUCCUUAAUAAGAAACUAUAAUUGCAAAUACACAAAUGGGGCCAAUUGAUAUACUAAUAUGGCGCCAUUUUUUUUUAUUAACAUCAAUAAUAAGGACAACAAAUCGGUUUUAUAGAAUAUGAGAAGAAGGCAUCUCGUAGAAGAAAGAAAACUAAGAAGAAAGAUGGAGAAAAUGAAGGUUGAACAUGAGAGAAAUUUCUAUUGAAACUCAUGAUGCUGUGAUAGUAGCAAAGUAAUUUUGUAGUUUUAAAGGAGAAAGGAGAGAGUAUAAAGGCAAAAUUUGAAAUUAUUUCUAUUGUAAAUCGUAAUUAUUACAGCAAUACAGUAAUGGAUCUCUCCUUAUCUCAGUCUAAUAUUGGAAAGAUGACAUAGUAGUUGAAGCAUGACAAAAGUUAUCAUCUAUUAUAUUGAUAAUAAUUAUUUCUAACUUUUAUUCGUUUUGAUACAACUUAUAUAGCUACAAAAGGGGCAUUUGUGGAAAUAAUUUUUCAGCUUUCUCCUCAAAACGCUUUUUUAAGUGUACUUUUUAUGCUUUGGACUUAUUUCAUUACCAAAUACUUAACCUCAAGGGAGGUUUGUGCAAUUUUACAAAUCUUAAGGGAGGUUAGUAAAAUAGUUGGAAAUCUCUGGAGAGGUUUAAGAAAUUAUCCCUAUGAUAAAAACAAAGGAGUAACGGAACACGCGUGUGAUGGUACUGAUCCCCAACUCAUGUUGGAUUUAUUUUAUUAAUAAGGACGAUUUAUUUAUUUAAAAAAGAAAACCGUGGAAAUGCUGGUAACUAUUAAACGUUUGUAUACAGCAUGAAAAGUAAAAGAGGUAAGGCGCCCGCCGGAGGUGGUGGGGUUGGUGGUCGAAGGACGCAAGAUGGUGGAGUGUCAAAUAUGCUCAUGGGGAACACCAAGAAGUUAACUACACUGUCUUGAAACUAAAAUUUCUCAAAUAUCUUUAGUAUUCUCGGCAUGGUUAGGAAUAUGGACAACUACAAGAAGUUAUGCAUUGAACUUGUAUUGUCUACUUGUCUGGUAGUAUCUACUUUGGCCAUGUCCACAACCAACUUCACCACUGAUCAGUUAGCCCUUCUUAGCUUGAAACAGCAUAUAACUUCUGAUCCUGGAGGUUCAAUCUUGGGAAACAAUUGGUCCACUGCAGUCUCCGUCUGCGAGUGGAUUGGAGUCACUUGCAGCCCUCGCCAUCCGGGCAGAGUUACUCAGGUUAAUAUUUCGAACAUGGGUCUGGCGGGCACCAUUCCUGCAGACAUAGGAAACCUCUCGUUUCUUGUUUCUCUUGACAUGAGAAAUAAUAACUUUCAUGGCGUGCCACCAGAAAGGAUGGUUAAUUUGCGUCGAUUGAGGUACAUUGAUCUGAGAUUCAACAACUUUGUUGGAGAGGUACCAUCAUGGUUCGGUUUUUUGGAUAAGCUCCAAUCCCUGCUUUUAUCCAAGAACCAGUUUAGUGGAGUUAUACCAAAACAAAUUGGGAAUCUCUACAAGCUUGAGCACCUGAGAAUGCCCUACAACAACUUGGAAGGUACUGUCAAUCCAUCUAUUCGUUAUGCAGUUUGUCACAAUCAAGAAAUGACUAUGUAAAGUUUGAUUAAAGACCGGGGGAAGUAUCUAUCCUAUGCACUUGUCAUUGAAAUUAAAGACUUGGGUAGGCCUCUGUAGGUUCUCCUCGGGAGUAACUAUGCCUAAGCAAAUGAAAAUCAAAAUAGGUACAAGUAUCUGAUUUCAACCCAAAGCUUACUUAGCUUCUACAUGCAUGAAACUUUGUUAACCUCAGAAAAGGUGAUGUAAUUAACGGUUUUGCAGGAGGAAUACCAAAAGAGAUUUGUAAUUUAACCAUGCUCAAAAGCUUAGUCUUAUGCAGCAACCACCUGACAGGUACGUUACUCACCCUUCAAAGAUGCAGAAUUAUCACUUACUUUACCUCCAUGAACAUUCAUUUGCAUCAAUCUCUUUUUUGACCUUUUUAGUUGUCCAGUCUGGUAGAUAAUAGGCUUAGAAGCGUAGUUGCCGGGAUAAUAGAACCGUUGUGUAUUACUUACUAUAAGUUGAUUCUUUUGGUGAUGAUAAUAUGAUCUAUAUUUUAUCAUAUUAGAAUUAGUGCUGAACAUUCUAAUUCUAAUACGAUAAAACAAAGACCUUAAUCAUUGGACCAUAUUAGUAACUUUUAGUCUCAAGGUUUAUUCAGAAGAACUGUACCACAUAAUGAGGCUUCAUUUGUGCGAGCUUAAUUGUAGUUGUAUGGAUGGUACUCAUUUUGGAUUGGCAGGUUCGAUUCCACAGGAAAUCGGCAACUUGAUCAAAUUGGAGAAUCUUUGCCUUCAAUUCAACAGCUUAACUGGUUCGAUUCCAAUUGGGAUAUUUAAUAUUUCGGCCCUGCAGAUUUUCUCACUUGUAAGAAAUCAUAUUAUUGGCAAUCUUCCACCAAACUUUGGUUAUGCUCUACACAACUUGGAAGAAUUUGUAAUUGGUGGGAAUAACUUGAGUGGAGUUAUACCCAGGUCUAUCUCAAACUGUUCAAAACUGGCCAGAUUAUCCCUUGGUCAGAACAAAUUCACUGGCAAAGUUCCCAAUUCCAUUGGAGAUUUAAGACUUCUUGAAGUCCUGGAUUUAUCUGAGAAUGAUCUGACGAGUGAUCAAUCUGAAUCUCCAGAGUUGAGCCUCAUCACUUCUCUCACAUAUUGCAAAUCUUUAACAAGACUUGCAUUGGCAGGUAAUCCUCUCAAUGGCAUGCUCCCUGUCACCAUUGGAAAUCUUUCUAAUUCUCUUGAAAAGAUAUAUGCACGUAGCUGUAGGAUCAGAGGUAGCAUUCCAGAGAGCAUUGGCAACUUAAGCAACUUGAUAGUAUUGAGCAUAUUUGACAAUGCCUUGACUGGUUCCAUCCCUAGUACACUCAAAGGUUUGCAAAAGCUUCAAGGUCUAUUACUUUACGACAACAACAUCGAAGGAACCAUUCCUACCAAUCUUUGUAAUUUACCAAGUUUGAGUACCGUGGAUGUAAGCCAUAAUCAAAUUUCAGGUACCAUCCCAGAAUGUAUAGGUAAUCUCACAUCUCUAAGGAAUCUCCAUCUUGGAUUCAACAGAUUAGCCUCUAGUCUUCCUAGAAGCUUGUGGAAUCUCAAGGAUCUCUUGAAACUUAACCUAACAUCAAAUGUCUUAAUUGGAUCUCUUCCUCCAGAAAUUGGAAAGCUAGAGGUUGUAAUGUUGUUAGACUUGUCUGUGAAUCGUUUCUCGGACAGCAUACCUAGUACAAUUGGGGCGCUGGAAAAUGUGAUUCGCCUUUCUUUGGCACGUAAUGCCAUUCAAGGCUCAAUUCCUGAGUCACUUAGUUACUUGUUAAGCCUUGAAUUUUUGGACCUGUCGCAUAACAACCUUUCUGGUUCAAUUCCCAAGUCAUUGGAGGCUCUUAAAUUUCUCAAGUACUUCAAUGUUUCUUUUAAUGAUUUAAGAGGUGAAAUUCCAUCUGAUGGUCCUUUCCAAAACUUCAAUCCUGAAUCCUUCAUAUCCAAUGCAGCAUUGUGUGGAGCAUCUCGUUUUCAUGUCAAAUCAUGCGAAACUGUUGCUGAGCAUAGAUUGAAGCACAAGAGGAAUAUACGGAUCAUUUUUGUUGUGUUAGGAACUGCAACUGUACUAAGUGCCAUGGCCUUUGGAUUCCUUUUCUUCAGAUACCGAAAGAAAGAUAUCGUCUCGAGUCGAAGAAAUUUCUCGUCAUUGAUGUCCAAACCAAGAUUUUCAUACAAUGAACUUUUUCAAGCAACUGAUGGUUGGAAUAAUAGAAAUUUACUUGGCUUGGGGAGCUUUGGAUCUGUUUACAAAGGUACUUUUCGUGAUGGGAUAGUUCUGGCUAUCAAAGUAUUUAAUUUGGAACUAGAAAUGGCAUUUGAGAGCUUCGAUGCAGAAUGUGAGAUGUUGAGCAAUUUUCGCCAUCGCAAUCUAACUAAAGUUAUAACUUGUUGCUCUAAUGCUGAUUUUAAGGCCAUAGUGCUUGAAUACAUGCCUAAUGGUAGCCUUGAGAACUGGUUGUAUUCCCAGAAUCAUUUCUUAGAUGCUACGCAGAGAUUGACUAUCAUGAUUGAUGUCGCAUAUGCACUGCACUAUCUUCACCAUGGUCAUUCAACACCAAUGGUCCAUUGUGAUCUGAAGCCUAGUAAUAUCUUGCUCAGUCAAGAUAUGGUUGCACAUCUUUGUGAUUUUGGUAUCUCUAAAUUGUUGAGCCAAGAAAGCAGCUUUACAUACACUCAAACACUGGCUACAUGCGGAUAUGUUGCACCAGGUAACUCUAUACAGUAUAUGCACGAACACAACCAUGUCAUAACUCAUACGCAGUUUGUUAUAGUAACCUUCAUCACUGAUCUUUUUGCAUGCUUAUUGCUGUAGAGUAUGGAUCUGAAGGACUGGUUUCGACGAGAUGUGAUGUUUACAGUUAUGGAAUUGUAUUGAUGGAAGUAUUCACCAGAAAAAAGCCGAAUGAUGAGAUGUUUGGUGAAAAUUUGAGCUUGAAGAGUUGGAUACUUGAUUCUUUGCCAAAUGCCAUAGUUCAGGUUAUAGAUGCCAACUUGAUUAGGCCUGAUAAAAGCAGCUUUAGCCAGGAGCUAAAUUGCAUAUCAGCUAUAAUGGAAGUGGCAAUGAAAUGCUCAAGAGAUUCGCCAAGAGACAGAAGUACAAUGGGAGAUGUUCUCGAGGAAUUGAAAAAGAUCAAACUUCUUCUUUCAGCAUUGGACAGAGAAGAUUGAGUCUCAUCUGAUCAAUGGCAAGUGAGGACAUACUGUGGUCAUUAGCUGAAGUCAGAGUUACUUACAAAGGAGUUUUAUAAUCGUUGAUGACUUCAGAUGAAGUUUGUCAUGCUGCCACAGAAUGAGGUUCUUGGUUCUUGAUGGAAAUCAAAAGACAGAGGGAAACUUUUGGGCGUGGUGAUUUUUUUUACACUCGCAACUUUGGAUGUGUGCUACAUAUGCAUAAUCAGAAUUUUAAAUUUAGAUUCAUGUUAUAUGACAUGAUCUAAAUUUACUAGUUUAAAAAAUGUAUAUAUACACCAACAGCAUAUGAAAAAGUUAUUCAUAAGUUAAAUCCUUGGGUAGAUCAUUGCCUUGCCUGACGCGGAUCGGAGCACAACAAUGGGAAAUGAUCCAUCCUAAAGUUGAAUUCCUGCCAAAUCAAAAGUAAGAAGCCAGCUCAGCUCGGCCAAAUUUGAACUAUUCAUUUCAAUUUUUUUUAGUAUUUUUAUUUUCAUAAUGCAAGCUAUAUUUGUGCCCGCUCAACUCAGUCUAAUUUGGACACGAAUUAUUCAAUGACAUCCAAAUGCAACAACAAAGUUUGCAACGCAUUCUUUAUAGGUUUCUUUCAUUUAUUUUAUUACUAGGAAAUGUUAUUUACACUUUCAUUUUUGUUAAUCACACUUCCACUAAUAUUUUUAUCAGAUGGUUUUUAUUUAUUAGACUAUAUGAUAAAAAUAAAUGACGGGAGUAUGAUUAACAGAAAAUGGAGUACAAAUAAUAUUUUUCUUUUUUUUCCCUUUUUCAUUCUUCGUAUCCAUGUAAAAAUUUUUUAAGGGCAGGCUAAAUUCAUCGUCUUCCGUCUUAAAUUCGCACGUAGUACAACUUUAAUACAAAUGGUACAAAUUAUCAAUGCACAUAGUACGAGUUAUUAAUGCAUUAAGGGUAUGAAUUUAGACGGUUGGGAGUGUGAAUUUAGCUUGUUUCUUGUGAAUAUCAUCAAUGUAUAAUUGCUCAUAAUAUAGAACAAUCUACACAAUUUUCUUAGGUGACAUACAGCUUAAACAUUGAACAACCCCAGUUACAGGCCUCGCACUUUUGCCCAUUAUUUUGUCAAGAGCCGUAUCGAGAGAUUUGCUUGAAAGUUGAAAAAGCACCUAAGAACCAAAUCUCGCCAAAUUACACAUUUAAGAUUUCAGUCAUACACAUUUUAUUCAAACACAAAUCUAAGUGCAACUUGUGUAUUACUUUUCUUUUCUUCUUUCAUUGCACAAAAGCUUAUUAACCAUGCAGAACGUUGUGGAAUGGCCAUUCCUCCUGCCCUUUCCAUCUCCCAUGAUGAAGAUAUAUUCUAGUUAACUGAUUGGUAAAUGAUCACCCAUAAAUAGCAAUGUCCUUGUCAUAUGAUCACCUCUAUAAACUUUGUAGGUGUGCUUAAACCACCAAAAAAAAGGAAAAAAAAAGAAAAAAGCUAUUGCAUUCUUUUUUUUUUUUUCCGAAACGAUAAGUGAUUUUAUAUCAUGAAAUAAUCUUUACAAAAUCAAGCAAAGGCUCGAUAACUAAAUACAACCAGUGCACAAUGGCACUAAGGAAUCACAAAUUCCUCAUCUUGAAUGAUAUUCAACGCAUAAGCGCUAAUUCUAUUACUUAAAUGAUUAUUAUCUCCAUCAACUAGGCAAAAAGAGCACAUUCAAAACAAGGCCUUCAAAGUGAGAAUAUCCUAUUGCAUUCACAAAGGGGAAUGUUGUGCAUUCAAUUUUGGUACAAGUUUUGUUAGACGUUAUAGAUUCAUAGUAGUUUAGACUAUAGUGAACAUUAAUUAUUUCCUUUUUAUAAGAUUACAAAAAACCUACAAUAGUGAGAGCUAAAUGAUGGAAAUUAUAACUCAAUAUCACUGCCUGCUAACUAAUCCACAUGAAGUGGGAGAAGAAACUCACAUAUAUAGUGAGACUUGACAAUGUAGACGUUCAUUUAUGUACUCUUUUUUAGGAGUGACAUUAAAUUUUGGAGAAUGUGCAAAAUCUAAUUCCUGUAAAACCCAUUCAAAAUUAAGUCUUGCUUUUAAUUAGGGCAAAUGUGUGAUUUGGUUAAACGGGCUAUAUGUGCAAGUGGCUAAAAUUUGUUGGAUCAUCCGCUGUUUCUAAGACAUCAAUUGCUCGAAAACUAGUAGCAAAUAUUGAUCAAACUAUGCCCAAGCACUAUAUAUACUUAAAACUUGCAGACAUGAUGGUCUAAAGAAAAAGAACUUCUGGAUUUUGUUAGCUGAUCUAUGGUAUGAAUGAGAAGCACGAGGCCAAGAAGGAUCCACAGCAUGCCCUCAGGCAGCACAAGUUAGAAGAAGGGAUUUGGGGCAGCAGCUUCAGUUGGAGCUGGUGGUUUAGGAUUCCAUGAGCAUCAUGAGAAGAAAAAUGCCAAGAAAGAAGAAGAAAAGGCCACCACCAUCGGUUUUGAACAUUAAUGAUGGGAGUUCCUUCAAGUUUCUUCCUAGUUUACGUUCAGUUUUAUACUUUUACAAGAAAUUAUAUUAUGUUUGGUUUUUGGUCCAAAUAUUAAAAGAAAAAUAAAAGUGAUGUUAAUCUGUCUUCGUGAUUUGCUCCUGAUUUUGCUGGCACCCCAGGUGACUCAGUAAAUUUGUUAAUCGAAAGGAUUUUCUCAAUUGAAGAUACGACAAACAAAUUUAGAAAUCCCGACUUUUUCAUGGCUCCAUGCACGUGUAAAAUUCCCAUAAAAAAAAAAAAAAAAACAGUUCAUCCUGCUAGAGAAAUAAUUUUGAUGGUUUUUGCGACAUGUAAUGUAAUUCUCUGUUGUUAACUCGAAAAAAAAAAUUUUUUUUCUGUCCUUGAAAUGUAACCAACGAUUGGUGCAAUGGUCCAAAAUCCAGCCCAUUUAGAACUGUCAUGACCCAAAACUUCAGAGAUUUGUCCAACAUCCUUGAUCAUGUCAGGUUGAUCAAGACAGUCUAACAGAAUGUUCCUGCACCUCAUCCUGGAAAAUUUGAGCAACAUAAAAGCUAACUUAAUUAAAUUCCAAUUUAGCACCCAAAAAAAAAUUAAAUUUCAAAUCUGUACAUAUGUUUUUUUCCUCUUUUUAAGAGUAAGUUCCAAAGAUUGUUUGACGAACUUUGUGUGAAAUACAUUGAUAAAGACCUCAGGUACUAUUUUGUACAAGUUUUUGAGUUUGAACUUCCUUAUACUAUUUCAUUUACUCCAAAAAAAUUCUUAUAGUUACACCUAUAUAUAUAUAUAUAUAUAUAUAUAUAUAUAUAUAUAUAUAGUGCAUAAAUUACUGAGCAAAUUUCCAAGAUAAGCAUAGGCAAAGAUAAAAAUCACUAAAGACUAUUAUAAUGUGAUUUCCAAGUGUUGAGAGCUACUGCAUCUACUGCUCUAUCGUGCUGAUCAUUGAUCAACAAUAUGUGAUUGUAAUCAUGCAAAUGUUAGAUGUGAAUGCAUGAAAAAUUUGACACCUGUGGACACAGGCAUGUCUUAAUUUGAACCUUUGAACCUAGUUGCUUUAUGGUAAAUGAUCAAGUCGUUCAAGCAAAUCUAAAAUCACUAUCCUGUGACAAAAAUGUUGUCUGGAAUCGGACUAUCACAAAAGUUAGAGCUAGAAAGGGUCUAAUUCCAUUGUGCAAGAAAUUAGUCAAGGACCCCAACUGCCUUAUUCACAUUGUCUAUCAGGGUAAAACAUUCUAAGUUGAUUCGGAUGAAAAAUGGAUCGAAAAUAUCAACCACGAUAUGAGGCUAAUGAGUGCAUGAUGUGUAACAUAUUGUAGAAAGAUUGCUUUACAAUGACCUAACAAACUACAACAUCAAGAAAGCCAAAAUGAAUGAAGAGGUUCCUGCCCGUCCAAUCUCAGAACCAAGAAAUGAAGAGGUUCCUGCCCUUCCAAUCCCUGUUUUCUUUAUUGCCAUAAGAACGUGGCACCAUGAUGGCGGUCCACAAAGAACAAAUGUGCAUAGCUGAAAAACACGUUCCAGUUAACGACUUCACAAGCUAUAAACUAGCUUGGUGUUAUCGUGGGACAAGCAUCGAUUAGUAAAGCAACACGUAUUUUAUGCCAAGAUAUCAGCAACCACAAAUCUUCAUGACAUUAAAGCCGCUAUGCCCUACCCAAGGAACCAACUGUCCAUAAUUGUUGCGGUUGAUUUCGAAUCCAAUAUCCUUGCGUGGCUUUUUUUUUAUUUAUAAGAAUUAAUAUUAUAUACAUCAACGCGUAUAGAUUUUUUUACGUUGAAAGGUAUAGAUACAUGAUAUAUGAAUAAAAAGUGAAUUUAAAUUUUGAAUAGUGAUGAUAUAACAUUUGUCUAAACUUUGUGUAAAAAAUUUUUUACGCUGAUACUGUAUAAAAAUUAUUCCCUUUUUUUAAUUGCUUACUUGAUUGGUAUCUAACAAUGUUUUGAAAAUCGGAUCAGACCGGGAACUGGUCAUAGCUUCGAUUCGGUUCAUACUUUGGGUUAACUAGACUUAAAAAUCGGAUUGAACCGUUGAACCGGUAGUUUUUUGUUUUUGUUUUUGUCUAUUAAAUUGAAAAAAAAAUUAAAAAAAGAAUAGGUUUUCCUUAACAUUAAAGACUAAUUAUUAAAUGUCAUAUUCACUCACUUUCUUUUCAUUUUUUACCUCUUAUCAAGUUUGUAUCUAUAUGUUCUAUUUUCCUGACUUUCUUCAAACUCCAAUCUUUUUUUUUUUAAGUUGCAGUCUUUAAAUAUAAAAAAUGUGAAUUAAAAUUUAAACUCACAAUAUCUAAUUCCCAUAUACGUGAAUUUUGUAUGAUUUUAGAAUAUUGUGGUAUUUUUGGGUUGGAUAUAAGAUUAUUUUUUUGGUAAAUUCAAUCAAAAUUGAGAUAAAAUUUAUUUGUUUCAACUUAUAAUUUUAAAAAUUUAUUUCUGAAAAUCCAAGUUCUUUGAAAAUAUUAAACGCUUCAUCAUAUAAAGUCUUAAAUUAGUCCAAUGCAUUCUUAUUUUGUGCAUAUAUAUUUACAUAAAUUAUUUUUAAAAAAAUUUAUUGAACCAUGAUUAAACCGGUCCGAUCGAUUGAAUCUCGACCUAAACACUCCAUCAGUUCAAUCAACGGUCCGAGUUUCAAAACAUUACUACGUGGGGAUUUUUACUUCACCAAUUAUUCAUAUGAUUAAUUUUUAGGAUUUCAUUUUGAUCUACAACUCAUUAUCUAUUCACUAGUCACAUGUUUGGUUGUACCGUUGAAACUACUAACCAACAACUAUGGUGCUCGAGAUCUUGUGAUUUGUGAACAUAUCAACAACUUUAGUUUUUGAUUUUUUGUAACUAAUGUAAAAUUUACGGCCCUUAUUAUACUGCCUAUAAAAUUCUAAAAUAUAUUUCCAGUGAAAGAAGAAUCUUUCAGCAAGUAGGAUAACAUUAAGAGAAUAUUCAGAACCUGUCUCCAAUUAUUGUGGGCCAGGCUCCCCUAAUCAAGUGAUUGUCUUUUGAUAAAUAAAAAGUGAUUAUCUAAUAAUUACUCAUUGGAAUUUAAACCUUGCCGACACCGGCAAUUCAACCGCCUCAUUGAUUAAGUCCUAACAAUGGAGGGUGGGCACCAUCCGGGGUCAAGAAAGCGACGACGCCGCAUUACUUUUUACAUGAAAAUCGCGAAAGCCAAAUAUUAAAGUCGUGUGGCAUUAAAAGCGGAACAUGACAUUUGUUAUGAACGUAGUGGUCCAAUCACGUUUCUUGUUGAAGAUUUUUCUUUACCCUUUUUAUCCACUCGAGAAAGGAAGGUUUAUAUGGAAACAAGAGUGUCUCUUUCAUGAAAUGGUAAUUGGAUAAGGAGAUUUUUCUAUUAAUAAAUUACCUGAUUUUCAAUCUAGUUAUCCAUUGAGAUUAUUUGGUGCUUAAUAUUUAUUAAGUUUUUGGGAACCCCGAAUGGAAGUAUUAAGCAAAAUAUGAUUUUGGAAGUACUUUCUUUUUUUAUCAUGACUUUAGCAGCUCCACCUCCAUAUCACAUGAUGAAUUCAGAUUGGUUUGUUGAGUGUUGUUCGAUUUCACAUGGUAGCUCCCACUUGCCAUUCGUAAGAGUCAAAACUUUGAUCAGUAUCAAUUUGAAUUAAAAAGUUCACAAUAGUUUGUGAAUGAAUCGUUAUAUUUCCCAAAGCUACCAGUCAACAAAGUUGCUUCAUCCCCCAAGGCAAUAAAAUUCCGUGAAUUUGCAACAGUUAAAACACACAGUGGGUCUAUGUUGAAACCUACAGCAGGCCUUCAUUUAUUUUUGGGAUGAUUUCAGAAACCUCCUCAUGGGAAAUUUCUGACAAUUUCACUUACUUCCCUUUAGGUUUGAAUAAUUACACUAAUCUCCUUUUAUGUAGUAAAAUGACUAUAAUAUCCUUCAUUUAUAAAUGAUUUCUACAAAAAAAAAAAUCCCUACAACUAUAAUUAGUCUUUCAUUUUAAAGCAACGGCUACCACACAAUAUAAAUUUUUAUUCUCUCUCUCUGACUCUCUCUCCUAUCUUCUUUCUCCUACACCUCAUAAUCCACUAUUUUUCCAUAAUUGCCAGUUACAUAAUGAUCUAAUACAUUUUGAAUCCUCAUUAUUAUGGAAAUAAAUCCUCUCUCCCUUUUUUCGUUUUCCUUUAUUUUAAGUAUUAUUGAAUUGAAAUUGUCAAAUGACAAGUUGUCGAAUCAGAUUUGUUGUCAAGCUAAAUGAAAGUAAAAAGGAUGGCGGUGAUACAAAGUAUAGACAAGAAAAUGAAAGUGAUAGCUAAAAAGGGAAUAUGGAUUGAGGAAGGUUACAUUAUUAUGCCAAUUAUGUAAAAAAGAAUUUUAGGAUAUGAAAACUGCAAUCAGAUUUACCUAAAAGACAUGGGAUAUGGUCUCUAGUGCUAUUUUUGGUUGCUCCGUAUUGGUAUUCUUGGUUCAAGCACUGAAUUUAGGCAAAAAAAAAAAGAGACUAAAGAUUAGAUUGAAUGCAAACUUUAAUUGUCAUAGUUGAUUUGCAUGGGAAGUUUUGGGGGGCAUUAGUAGGCUAUCAAAAUUGUGAGAAUAUGAGAAUUAAGUUGAAGUGGUUUAUUGAGUUCAUUAAGUGGCGGUUAUGGCGUUUACACUAGUUACAAUGUAGAAAAAAAAAAUUUAUUAGUGAGUUUUCCCCCUUCUAAGCAGCAAAGGGGUAUUUUAGGAUUUUUAAGAAUAAAUUUAGCAUACUAGAUCUAUAUUGUUACUGAAAUGCAAAUCAUAAGGGAGCUAAGUGUAAUUUUUUAAAUUAGAGGGGAGCAUCCUGAAAUAGUCAGAAACCUCAAGGGAGGUUUCUCAAAUUAUCCCUUUAUUUUUUUUUCCUCUUUUUCAUCACUUUUAAAAAUGAAACAUCAUAUAAUUGUCAAUUAUGUAAUCCCCCCUCCCCCCAACAAAAAAAAAAAGAAAGGAAAAAGAAACUUCGUAACUAUACUUGCACACGUGAAAAAUGUUUUGUCAUUUACUCAUGGUACAAAUGUAAGGAGUUUUCUAGAAAUAGUAGACAGGCAAAAUUACGAAAAUAUUAAUACAAGGGUCUGCUAAUUUAACUUUCUCUAAUAUCUGUCACUAGUUGCAUGUGGACGUUAAAGCAGCACCGUGCAAUCACAAUCAAAGACCUUAUCUUAUUCCCUCGAAUUUACCUUCAUCUCAUCUUAUUACUGUAUUCAGAGGUAGAAAAUAGAAGGUCUCUAAUGUCCAUCAAUCAGAGCAACAAUCGAGCGUAGAUAGAUAUGACUAGGAGAUGACAGCACAUUCUAUUAACCAAUUAGUGCCAAAAUCCCACGAUCAAGACUUAUAAAUACAUCUCCCAUCUAAAGUCUAAACCAUCAGUCAUAGCAUCAACAAUAUAUAGUCAUUAUCCAGCCAGUUGAUUCAAUUUCCCUAGAAAAAAGUCAUCAUCAGAACCAUCAUCAUGGCGGAGGAGGAGAAGCACCACCACCACCACCUUUUCCACCACAAGAAGGAGGGGGAGGAGGAGAACAUAGUUGAUGAGGCGGCAGCUCAUAAAUAUGAGAAAGAAGAGAAGCACCACAAACAUCUUGAGAAGGUUGGGGAGCUCGGUGCUGCUGCUGCUGGAGCCUACGCCUUGGUAAUUAACAUUUCCACAUACUCAAUUCAUGAAUGCUUGUCCCUUCUUUUUUUUUUUUUUUCUAAAAAAAUAUCAUAUACAACUUCCCCUCCAUUUUUUUUUGAAUUCGUUUUCUGGGUUUUUAAUAAAACCAUAUGGGGAUUGAUCAUGAAUUUUACUUAAUUUGGUAAUUUCUUAGUUUAAGAAAUUUUUAGUUUUUUAAUAUUUAAUCUGAGAGACACAAAUAUAUAAUUGUCCAAAGAAAUGGUGACCGGAUCCUGUUGUUAAUGGAAUUGCGCCUAGCUUGUAAUAUGAUCCUCUUUUUAUUUUAUUUAUUUAUUUUUGUUUCAUGAUAUUUUUUAAUUUUUGCCAUUUAUAGUAAAGUCAAACUCAAGAAUAUUGAUUGUAUUAGCAGCAACCAAAUAUUUCAUGAUCUCUUUCUCGGUCAAUCUACUAGAUGCUAGGGUAGCGCAGGUUGGAAUUUGUAACAGUUCUAUGAGAUACAUAUAACGAAUUCAUAUUCUACUUCACAAAUUUGGAUCCUCUUUUUAACUUAAGAUCCAAAAUUUCCUUAAUGUUGAAUUCACCUUUUUCUUUUUCUUUUUUGUCAAUUGUUUAUUGGUCUAAAAAAUCGGAUUUUCAAAUUGACAAGAAAAAAAAAAACAGAGGAAUUGGGGAGUGCGAAAAUAAAAUGAUAACCAAUCGGGGUAGUAAACUCUAGCCGAAGAUCAAAAUUCAACCCCAUUUUCCAAUCAAUUGAUCGGACCAUAUGUGUGUAAACUCAUUAAGAGCUCAGUAAGAAAAUUUUUUCGAUUCUUGGUUAAUUAAUUCCCCUUGAUGAUUUGUAAUUGAUUAAAUUAAAUGGCAGCACGAGAAGCACGAAGCAAAGAAGGACCCUGAGCAUGCCCACAGGCACAAGAUAGAGGAAGAGAUUGGUGCAUCACUUGCAGUUG